This is a non-coding RNA of Abortiporus biennis, 78 nucleotides long. NCBI's taxonomy places the organism in Eukaryota, Fungi, Basidiomycota, Agaricomycetes, Polyporales, Podoscyphaceae. The record is from the annotation of a GenBank genome assembly.
UCCCUGGUAGUAUAUCGGCUAGUACACGCGCCUGUCAUAGGAACGCGCGAAAGCGGGGUUCGACUCCCCGCCAGGGAG